Molecule: unclassified non-coding RNA, 329 nt
Filed under: soil metagenome
Description: partial contains 5.8S ribosomal RNA, internal transcribed spacer 2, and large subunit ribosomal RNA
Rfam family: 5.8S ribosomal RNA (bases 1-120)
Source: RNAcentral
GAUGAAGAACGCAGCGAAACGCGAUAAGUAAUGUGAAUUGCAGAAUUUAGUGAAUCAUCGAAUCUUUGAACGCACAUUGCGCCCCCUGGUAUUCCGGGGGGCAUGCCUGUCCGAGCGUCAUUACAACCCUCAAGCUCAGCUUGGUGUUGGGCCCCGCCGCCCCGGCGGGCCCUAAAGUCAGUGGCGGUGCCGUCCGGCUCCGAGCGUAGUAAUUCUUCUCGCUCUGGAGGUCCGGUCGUGUGCUCGCCAGCAACCCCCAAUUUUUUUCAGGUUGACCUCGGAUCAGGUAGGGAUACCCGCUGAACUUAAGCAUAUCAAUAAGCGGAGGA